Molecule: ribosomal RNA, 497 nt
Filed under: uncultured bacterium
Lineage: Bacteria
Description: partial 16S ribosomal RNA
Rfam family: Bacterial small subunit ribosomal RNA
Source: RNAcentral
GAUGAACGCUGGCGGCGUGCCUAAUACAUGCAAGUCGAGCGAACAGACGAGGAGCUUGCUCCUCUGACGUUAGCGGCGGACGGGUGAGUAACACGUGGAUAACCUACCUAUAAGACUGGGAUAACUUCGGGAAACCGGAGCUAAUACCGGAUAAUAUAUUGAACCGCAUGGUUCAAUAGUGAAAGACGGUUUUGCUGUCACUUAUAGAUGGAUCCGCGCCGCAUUAGCUAGUUGGUAAGGUAACGGCUUACCAAGGCGACGAUGCGUAGCCGACCUGGGAGGGUGCACGGCCACACUAGAACUGAGACACGGUCCAGACUCCUACGGGAGGCAGCAGUAGGGAAUCUUCCGCAAUGGGCGAAAGCUUGACGGAGCAACGCCGCGUGAGUGAUGAAGGUCUUCGGAUCGUAAAACUCUGUUAUUAGGGAAGAACAAAUGUGUAAGUAACUAUGCACGUCUUGACGGUACCUAAUCAGAAAGCCACGGCUAACUACGUG